ACUCCUACGGGAGGCAGCAGUAGGGAAUCUUCCACAAUGGGCGCAAGCCUGAUGGAGCAACACCGCGUGAGUGAAGAAGGGUUUCGGCUCGUAAAGCUCUGUUGUUAAAGAAGAACACGUAUGAGAGUAACUGUUCAUACGUUGACGGUAUUUAACCAGAAAGUCACGGCUAACUACGUGCCAGCAGCCGCGGUAAUACGUAGGUGGCAAGCGUUAUCCGGAUUUAUUGGGCGUAAAGAGAGUGCAGGCGGUUUUUCUAAGUUCUGAUGUGAAAGCCUUCGGCUUAACCGGAGAAGUGCAUCGGAAACUGGAUAACUUGAGUGCAGAAGAGGGUAAGUGGAACUCCAUGUGUAGCGGUGGAAUGCGUAGAUAUAUGGAAGAACACCGAGUGGCGAAGGCGGCUACCUGGUCUGCAACUGACGCUGAGACUCGAAAGCAUGGGUAGCGAACAGGAUUAGAUACCCCGUGGUAGGAUAGCG
This 479-nucleotide ribosomal RNA is filed under the name uncultured bacterium. Its description in RNAcentral is "bacterial SSU rRNA". It matches the Rfam family "Bacterial small subunit ribosomal RNA", at positions 335 to 801 of the family's 1533-position model. The record is from RNAcentral.